This 164-nucleotide ribosomal RNA is filed under the name uncultured bacterium. Its description in RNAcentral is "partial 16S rRNA". It matches the Rfam family "Bacterial small subunit ribosomal RNA", at positions 355 to 511 of the family's 1533-position model. The record is from RNAcentral.
UAGGGAAUCUUCCACAAUGGACGAAAGUCUGAUGGAGCAACGCCGCGUGAGUGAAGAAGGGUUUCGGCUCGUAAAACUCUGUUGUUAAAGAAGAACAUAUCUGAGAGUAACUGUUCAGGUAUUGACGGUAUUUAGCCCGAAAGCCACGGCUAACUACGUGCCGG